This 381-nucleotide long non-coding RNA is filed under the name Phasianus colchicus (ring-necked pheasant). Its description in RNAcentral is "lncRNA (ENSPCLG00000020808.1)". Lineage: Eukaryota; Metazoa; Chordata; Aves; Galliformes; Phasianidae. The record is from RNAcentral.
ACAAGACAAAUUCAGGCUGCAGGAUGGAUCGGUCACACACUCUGUACAGAAGGGGAACAUCCAGAAAAUAAAUGUGGAAAACAGACUGAUGACAGCUUUGUGACAUCCACCCCUCUGCUUCUGAGUGCCUUUUAUCCAACAGGAAAACAAAGCAUUCAGUUAAGGAAGACUGGAAAAAUUAAGCCUGAAUCCCUCAUUGACCUGAAACCCACCCUCCAGGGGAAACCAGCAGCUUUCAGACCAGCCUUUCACUGUUCCUAAUGAGAACAACAUUAGACUUCUACCUCAACACGACUGAAAUGAUUUCAUGGUAGAAAAUUAUCAUUUCUAUACUUCAGAAGCACUGGUGAUAUUCAAAUUAGAAUCCUUCCAUACUAACUG